RNAcentral lists this ribosomal RNA (712 nucleotides) under uncultured marine alveolate. RNAcentral describes it as "SSU rRNA". It matches the Rfam family "Eukaryotic small subunit ribosomal RNA", at positions 617 to 1336 of the family's 1831-position model. The record is from RNAcentral.
GGUAAAAAAGCUCGUAGUUGGAUUUCUGUUGAGGACGACCGGUCCAUACCACGUAUGCGCAUCUGGCUCGGCCUCGGCAUCCUCUCGAUAGACGUUUCUGCGCUUGAUUGCGUGGAGCGGAUCUCGGGACUUUUACUUUGAGGAAAUUAGAGUGUUCACGGCAGGCUAUCGCCAGAAUACAUUAGCAUGGAAUAAUACUAUAGGAUCUCGGUUCUAUUUUGUUGGUUUCUAGAAUUGAGAUAAUGAUUAAUAGGGACAAUUGGGGGCAUUCGUAUCAACACGUCAGAGGUGGAAUUCUUGGAUUGUGUUGCGACGAACUACUGCGAAAGCAUUUGCCAAGGAUGUUUUCAUUGAUCAAGAACGAAAGUAAGGGGAUCGAAGACGAUUAGAUACCGUCGUAGUCUUUACCAUAAACUAUGCCAACUAGAGAUCCGGCAUCGUUCACUUACGACUUGCUGGGCACCUUAUGGAUACUAAAGUCUUUGGGUUCCGGGGGGAGUAUGGUCGCAAGGCUGAAACUUAAAGGAAUUGACGGAAGGGCACCACCAGGAGUGGAGCCUGCGGCUUAAUUUGACUCAACACGGGGAAACUCACCAGGUCCAGACAUAAUAAGGAUUGACAGAUUGAUAGCUCUUUCUUGAUUUUAUGGGUGGUGGUGCAUGGCCGUUCUUAGUUCGUGGAGUGAUUUGUCUGCUUAAUUGCGUUAACGAAC